UUGGAAACUAGUAUGAACGGUUUAAUAGGUCUAAUUAGUUUGUUUUUUUAAUAGUAAGUUAAAGACAAAGUAAGAAUUCUUUGAUAAAUUAAGGGACGAUAAGACCCUAAAAGCUUUAUGAUUAGUUAGGAUUUAGUGGUACUAAUAGUAUUGUUUUACUGGGGCAGUGGUUUUAUUUAAAUUAAAAAAUUAGUUAAAGAUCCUUUAAAUAAAGAUUUAGUGGAAAAGUUACUUUAGGGAUAACAGUGCGAUAUAUUUGGGGAGACCAGAUCUAUAAAUAUGUUUGCAACCUCGAUGUUGAAUUAGAAUUUCUGUACGGGCAGAAUAUGUACAAGAAAGUUUGUUCAACUUUUAAAUUUCUACAUGAUCUGAGUUCAAACCGG
This 383-nucleotide ribosomal RNA is filed under the name Pontogammarus robustoides. RNAcentral describes it as "partial 16S ribosomal RNA". The stretch from base 94 to 383 matches the Rfam family "Bacterial large subunit ribosomal RNA", at positions 2078 to 2619 of the family's 2925-position model. The record is from RNAcentral. Lineage: Eukaryota; Metazoa; Arthropoda; Malacostraca; Amphipoda; Pontogammaridae.